RNAcentral lists this ribosomal RNA (300 nucleotides) under uncultured Saprospira sp. Its description in RNAcentral is "bacterial SSU rRNA". It matches the Rfam family "Bacterial small subunit ribosomal RNA", at positions 115 to 413 of the family's 1533-position model. Lineage: Bacteria; Pseudomonadati; Bacteroidota; Saprospiria; Saprospirales; Saprospiraceae. The record is from RNAcentral.
GCGUACAAAACCUACCUUGAGCUGGGGGAAAGUCGCUGGAAACGGCGAAUAAUCCCGCAUAAGACCACAACACCGCAUGGUGUAGGGGUUAAAGGCUUCGGUCGGUUUAAGAUGGUUGUGCGUUCCAUUAGCUAGAUGGUAAGGUAACGGCUUACCAUGGCGACGAUGGGUAGGGGGCGUGAGAGCGUGAUCCCCCACACGGGUACUGAGACACGGACCCGACUCCUACGGGAGGCAGCAGUAAGGAAUAUUGGUCAAUGGAGGCAACUCUGAACCAGCCAUGCCGCGUGUGUGAUGAAG